This 253-nucleotide ribosomal RNA is filed under the name uncultured bacterium. RNAcentral's name for it is "partial 16S ribosomal RNA". It matches the Rfam family "Bacterial small subunit ribosomal RNA", at positions 524 to 775 of the family's 1533-position model. The record is from RNAcentral.
UACGUAGGGUGCAAGCGUUAAUCGGAAUUACUGGGCGUAAAGCGUGCGCAGGCGGCUAUGCAAGACAGAUGUGAAAUCCCCGGGCUCAACCUGGGAACUGCAUUUGUGACUGCAUGGCUAGAGUACGGUAGAGGGGGAUGGAAUUCCGCGUGUAGCAGGUGAAAUGCGUAGAUAUGCGGAGGAACACCGAUGGCGAAGGCAAUCCCCUGGACCUGUACUGACGCUCAUGCACGAAAGCGUGGGGAGCAACAGG